AGUGAACGCUGGCGGUAGGCCUAACACAUGCAAGUCGAACGGCAGCACAGUAAGAGCUUGCUCUUACGGGUGGCGAGUGGCGGACGGGUGAGGAAUACAUCGGAAUCUACUUUUUCGUGGGGGAUAACGUAGGGAAACUUACGCUAAUACCGCAUACGACCUACGGGUGAAAGCAGGGGAUCUUCGGACCUUGCGCGAUUCAAUGAGCCGAUGUCGGAUUAGCUAGUUGGCGGGGUAAAGGCCCACCAAGGCGACGCUCCGUAGCUGGUCUGAGAGGAUGAUCAGCCACACUGGAACUGAGACACGGUCCAGACUCCUACGGGAGGCAGCGGUGGGGAAUAUUGGACAAUGGGCGCAAGCCUGAGCCAGCCAUACCGCGUGGGUGAAGAAGGCCUUCGGGUUGUAAAGCCCUUUUGUUGGGAAAGAAAAGCGGCAGGUUAAUACCCCGCUGUUCGGACGGUACCCAAAGAAUAAGCACCGGCUAACUUCGU
RNAcentral lists this ribosomal RNA (491 nucleotides) under uncultured bacterium. RNAcentral describes it as "partial 16S ribosomal RNA". It matches the Rfam family "Bacterial small subunit ribosomal RNA", at positions 29 to 506 of the family's 1533-position model. The record is from RNAcentral.